Eptesicus fuscus (big brown bat) is the source of this 203-nucleotide small nucleolar RNA. RefSeq annotates it as small nucleolar RNA SNORA74. The record is from RefSeq and is a predicted model, not a curated record. The transcript has a single exon. NCBI's taxonomy places the organism in Eukaryota, Metazoa, Chordata, Mammalia, Chiroptera, Vespertilionidae.
UCCAGCAGUGGUCAGCUCUCCAGGCAGCAUCAUGCCUGUGAUGGUGUUACACUGCUGGGAGAGGAAUGACCUGUCUCCUUCCUCCAGUUGCUCCCUGUACUGAUCUGGUGACAUGUGGCACUGGUGCAAGGCAGAACUGUGCUUCCUUAAAAAUGAGCUAAGCAUCACUUUGUCUGCUUAGGUCUAGAGUGGGAGCAGACACA